Molecule: long non-coding RNA, 1642 nt
Organism: Peromyscus californicus insignis
Lineage: Eukaryota; Metazoa; Chordata; Mammalia; Rodentia; Cricetidae
Exons: 3
Source: RefSeq, a predicted model, not a curated record
CCCAGCAUCCAUUCCACCCUAAGCCACUCUGCAGAGCGACAACUGCUUCAUCUCGGAUAGCAUAAAGCAGAUCACAGAUGAGGUCAUCUUUGCAACUAUAAAUAGCCUUGUGUGUAUUCACGUUUUGCCCUUUACCACGAAAAUGAUGGCAUACCACGCAUCUCACCCUGCCUCUUAACAACCGAUCAAGAACACGCUCCCAGCUCUGGGGUGGUAGGGUGUCAUAGAGGGAGCCCAGCAGGAUGGAGCCAAUAGAUCUGCUGUGGGGAUGCUGGCAGCAUGGUGUUACCUGGACUUCCGGCAUAGCUGCUCCAGGAAAGGGGCAGCCUCACGCAGCCAUGUUACAGAACGGCCUCUACCUGACACGUGCUAUAUCAUGAAGCCUCCAGGGCUCUUUCUGUCAGCAGAUGUCUGGGACCCUGCAUGUCAGCCCUCUGCCAUGGCACGGAGUACCAGGUGGGUUUUCCAUUUGCGGCUCGCCGUAACCAGGUGGGCACCUCUAAGCGUGAGGCCUCACUCCUCACUGAUGAGACAGGAGCCUUGCGUGUCUUCCGCCGUGAGAAUGGCCUCCACAUGUAGUGUUACAGAAGAGUGUCCUGAGUGUGGCAGCAGUGACUUGAGCCACUGAUGAGGUCUCCCUGUGGAACUGGGAUGUGUGUCCAUCUUGAUGGUCCCAGUGGAGUCUGCAGACACACUUGAGUUCUCCUUCCAAUCCCAUUCCCCGGAUAACAGAGAAUCCUGGAGGUGAACUUCCUGUGCCUUCACUUCCAGCCAUCCGUGAUUUGUUUGUUAGUUUGUUUGUUUUGUUUUUGUUUUUGUAGGAAUACCAGCAGUGGGGAAUAGCUCGAAGAGGGUGUCCCUGCAAUAGUGGCCUCCCUGAUUUCCCACCGGGGGAGGUGGAGGAGAAGGUGACUUAUUCACACUGACCAGCCACACCUGUGCUAGAGAGCUGCCUGGGAUUGUGAGUUCCCCCAUUCCUCAAAUCUUUUUGAGCUCCACCCUAUCACUCCAGGUGCCUGAGCUCCAUAGUGAACCCGGCUGUGGCUGGACCCUGGAACAGAGAGCCCCUGAGCACUCACCGAGAGCCAAUGCAUUUAUUCCCUAAGCUUGCUGUUGCCUGUGGUGGCUUGAUUUUCAGCAGAAAUGACCCAGGAAUCCUUGGAUAGAGCCCUCCUUGAACUUGAGGGGCUCUGGUGAUUCUACUGAUCGUCCAGGAAAACCUUGGGCAAUAUGGAGUGUUUGAACUUGGGGCACAUGCCCAACUCCUUGCAGAUUGCUUUGGCCGGUGACACACAGCCUUGGGAGCACGUGUGGGGCAGGACUCAUUUCAGGCCUGGAGACCAUUGAACCCUCCAGUCCCGCACCUUGCAGGUAGAAUAUCUUAUUUGGGGGUGAGCAUCUGCCACCACCACCACCCCUCCUUGAAGUGGCUAUGCGAUGGGGUGGGGGGAACACGACACACAAGUGCAGAGUCCACACCCUAAGGACCAUUCACCUCAUGCUGGGGGAUGCUGCGUCUUUGGCCACCAUGUGACCCCAGGCAUGUGAAUUUUCUAAAACUGUUCUCUUCCCUCGCAUUCCCACUAGUUUUAGGACCAACAUCCACGUACGUUUGACGCUAAUGGAAACUCUGCCUUGUGAC